GACGAACGCUGGCGGCGUGCUUAACACAUGCAAGUCGAACGAAGUGGCGAACGGGUGAGUAACGCGUAAUCAACCUGCCCUUCAGAGGGGGACAACAGUUGGAAACGACUGCUAAUACCGCAUACUGAAGGAGGGGAUUGCGUCUGAUUAGCUAGUUGGAGGGGUAACGGCCCACCAAGGCGAUGAUCAGUAGCCGGUCUGAGAGGGUGACCGGUCACAUUGGGACUGAGAUACGGCCCAGACUCCUACGGGAGGCAGCAGUGGGGAAUUUUGCACAAUGGGCGCAAGCCUGAUGCAGCGACGCCGCGUGAGGGAUGAAGGCCUUCGGGUUGUAAACCUUUUUCGCUCAUGGUCGGGUAGUGGGUAAAGAAGCGCCGGCUAACUACGUGCCAGCAGCCGCGGUAAUAC
This 408-nucleotide ribosomal RNA is filed under the name uncultured bacterium. RNAcentral's name for it is "partial 16S ribosomal RNA". It matches the Rfam family "Bacterial small subunit ribosomal RNA", at positions 28 to 526 of the family's 1533-position model. The record is from RNAcentral.